Molecule: ribosomal RNA, 487 nt
Filed under: uncultured bacterium
Lineage: Bacteria
Description: bacterial SSU rRNA
Rfam family: Bacterial small subunit ribosomal RNA
Source: RNAcentral
AUUGAACGCUGGCGGCAGGCCUAACACAUGCAAGUCGAGCGAGAAAGGUCUUCGGACUGAGUACAGCGGCGGACGGGUGAGUAAUGCGCAGGAAUCUACCUGGUAGUGGGGGGAUAACUCGGGGAAACUCGAACUAAUACCGCAUACGCCUACGGGGAAAGCGGGGACCGUUCGGGCCUCGCGCUAUCAGAUGAGCCUGCGUAGGAUUAGCUUGUUGGUGAGGUAAAGGCUCACCAAGGCGACGAUCCUUAGCUGGUCUGAGAGGAUGAUCAGCCACACUGGAACUGAGACACGGUCCAGACUCCUACGGGAGGCAGCAGUGGGGAAUAUUGCGCAAUGGGCGAAAGCCUGACGCAGCCAUGCCGCGUGUGUGAAGAAGGCCCUUGGGUUGUAAAGCACUUUCAAUUGGGAAGAAAGGUUGCGUGUUAAUAGCACGUAGCUGUGACGUUACCUUUAGAAGAAGCACCGGCUAACUCCGUGCCAGCAC